Molecule: ribosomal RNA, 904 nt
Filed under: Rhytidhysteron hongheense
Lineage: Eukaryota; Fungi; Ascomycota; Dothideomycetes; Hysteriales; Hysteriaceae
Description: partial large subunit ribosomal RNA
Rfam family: Eukaryotic large subunit ribosomal RNA
Source: RNAcentral
AGAACAACAGGGAUUGCCUUAGUAACGGCGAGUGAAGCGGCAACAGCUCAAAUUUGAAAUCUGGCCCCCUUGGGGGUCCGAGUUGUAAUUUGUAGAGGAUGCUUCGGCGUGGGCCCCGGUCUAAGUUCCUUGGAACAGGACGUCACAGAGGGUGAGAAUCCCGUACGUGGCCGUGGGCACUCGCCAUGUGAAGCUCCUUCGACGAGUCGAGUUGUUUGGGAAUGCAGCUCUAAAUGGGAGGUAAAUUUCUUCUAAAGCUAAAUAUUGGCCAGAGACCGAUAGCGCACAAGUAGAGUGAUCGAAAGAUGAAAAGCACUUUGGAAAGAGAGUCAAAAAGUACGUGAAAUUGUUGAAAGGGAAGCGCUUGCAACCAGACCUGUCUGCGGUUGCUCAUCCGGGCUCCUGCCCGGUGCACUCUUCCGCAGUCAGGCCAGCAUCAGUUCUGGCGGUCGGAUAAAGGCGGCGGGAAUGUGGCUCCUCUCGGGGAGUGUUAUAGCCCGUCGUGCAAUGCGGCCAGCCGGGACUGAGGUCCGCGCUUCGGCUAGGAUGCUGGCGUAAUGGUUGUAAGCGGCCCGUCUUGAAACACGGACCAAGGAGUCUAACAUCUGUGCGAGUGUUUGGGUGUCAAGCCCAGGCGCGUAAUGAAAGUGAACGGAGGCGGGAACCUUAGGGUGCACCGUCGACCGAUCCUGAUGUCUUCGGAUGGAUUUGAGUAAGAGCAUAGCUGUUGGGACCCGAAAGAUGGUGAACUAUGCCUGAAUAGGGUGAAGCCAGAGGAAACUCUGGUGGAGGCUCGCAGCGGUUCUGACGUGCAAAUCGAUCGUCAAAUUUGGGCAUAGGGGCGAAAGACUAAUCGAACUAUCUAGUAGCUGGUUCCUGCCCGAAGUCUCCCCUCUCAGGAAUA